GAAUGCAAGCAUUAUUAUUCCAGCCAAAAGUUUUUUUUGUUUUCUAGAGAGGUACGGUACUUCUAUAAUAGAACAGACAAAGGUGGUCCAAUGAAGCUCCAACAAGCUGCAGUGCAUGCAUGAUUGCAUGAAGAGGUUAUAACCUCUGCAGCAUUGCCACCAUAUGUCCUUUUUAACUCGGUCCGGCCGGUCUCUCCAAUCCAUGACCUUCAUUCUUGUCGUUGUAACAUCGUUGAGAGUUGAGACCAGACCCCAUGCUCUGCCUGCCUAGCUGCUUCGGUAAAUUGCAUUGGCUACUCUCCUCUCUGCUUCUUCCUACUCCUACUACAUGAGGUCUAUCAUCGAUCGUCUCUUGCAUUAUAUAACAGCUAGCCAUAGUGUUUCCUCACCACGACUAUGAACAGGGGGCGACAAGGCGCCGCCUUUGCAUUAUAUAACAGUAGUUCUUAGUUAUAUAAGGAGAGGGAGAUGAAUAAAGAGAGGCGAUGCAAAAUGGCAGCAUGGAUCGGAGGUUGAAGAAGAGAAAACAAAAGUGAAUCAGUGUGUAUCUGUAGCCUCUCAACUCUUCAAGUCCAUGCCAUGCCUUUCCACAGCUUUCUUGAACUUCUCCUCCUCCUCCUCUCUCUUAGAAGGGUAGCUUUGAACAUCUCUCUCUCUCUCUCUCUCUCUCUCUCUCUCUCUCCAAAGAAGGUCAAGAAAGCUGUGGGAAGAAAUGACAUAACAAGGACUCUGGAAUUCUGUAGUGAGAUGUGAUGUUAACUGCCCUUUUGCAAAUGUAAGUUGUUACUCCUCUGAAUCCGUCGUGCUUUAUGAGUAAUCACUACUACUCGUGCAGCAGCUUGGUUUGAUUUUGUCGAGCGAUCGAUGCAGAUCGGUUUUGCUUUCAAAUUAUGCGGCUUACCUAUAUAUUAUAUAUAUGCGGCCUUCUUGAUCUUAUGAUCCUUCUCAUCUUUUUUUUCCAACAAAUAUGUAUGUUUUCUUGGCUGAACGUAAUCUGAUGGAGUUUUCUCAUGAUUUUACACCUUCUAAUAAAUUUUCCAAACUGUGCGUUAUAUUUUAGCGGAGUGUAAAGAGAACCUAAAAGGAGUAAGGACUUAAGUCGUGGCACAUCCACACCCAGCAACACUAUAGGAGUAGCAGGCAGCAGGCACGCACAUUCUGAAAAGCUGAGGCAGGGGGGGCGGUUCCAUUUGCUGUCAAGCUGGAGUACCCCACAGGCAGUGACAGAGGGAAAGGCUGCGCCUUCCCUUUGCCCACGUCUCACCAUACUGAUGAUUGAUCUACCCACGGCAGAGGAUUUCAUCAGAAAGCUCCAUGCUCCAUCAUCCAUCCAUCCAUCACACUCCAGCCUGCAUCAAGGUCGGCACAAGGCAACAAGGGAGGGCCACUGACAGGUGGGCCACGUGCCUGCACCAGGCCCACGUGUAGCCCCAGCAGCUCGUGCAGUGAGCCAGUGACAGAUCUGGCCAUCUGGUCCUCUGAUCUCACUCGCCUUCUCGCUCAUGUCAUGGAUGGCUGGCCAUGGCCAUGGUCUGAUGACCCAGAUGGGAGAGGAAGCCGUACUAGGAGUACUCCUACGGAGUAGCACUAGCUGCCACUGCCAGGAAUAAUGGAAUAUGGAUUUCACUGCAAGCAAGCAAAGGGCAAAGGCAGUGGCUGCACCAGCAAGAAUCCAGUAAAAAUUCCCUCUG
Molecule: long non-coding RNA, 1691 nt
Organism: Sorghum bicolor (sorghum)
Lineage: Eukaryota; Viridiplantae; Streptophyta; Magnoliopsida; Poales; Poaceae
Exons: 3
Source: RefSeq, a predicted model, not a curated record